AAACUUGAGAGUUUGAUCAUGGCUCAGAACGUACGCUGGCGGCACGCCUAACACAUGCAAGUCGAACGAAGUAGCAAUACUUAGUGGCAGACGGGUGAGUAACAUGUAGGUAUCUGCCCUUUGGCCUGGAAUAACACGAGGAAACUUGUGCUAAUACCGGAUAAGUCUUUACGGAGAAAGCUUUAUGCACCAUUGGAUGAGCCUGCAAUUGAUUAGUUUGUUGGUGGGGUAAUGGCCUACCAAGACUGUGAUCAAUAGCUGAUUUGAGAGGAUGAUCAGCCACAUUGGGACUGAGACACGGCCCAAACUCCUACGGGAGGCAGCAGUGGGGAAUCUUGCACAAUGGAGGAAACUCUGAUGCAGCGAUGCCGCGUGAGUGAAGAAGGCCCUUGGGUUGUAAAGCUCUUUCGUCGGGGAAGAAAAUGACUGUACCCGAAUAAGAAGGUCCGGCUAACUUCGUGCCAGCAGCCGCGGUAAUACGAAGGGACCUAGCGUAGUUCGGAAUUACUGGGCUUAAAGAGUUCGUAGGUGGUUGAAAAAGUUAGUGGUGAAAUCCCAGAGCUUAACUCUGGAACUGCCAUUAAAACUUUUCAGCUAGAGUAUGAUAGAGGAAAGCAGAAUUUCUAGUGUAGAGGUGAAAUUCGUAGAUAUUAGAAAGAAUACCAAUUGCGAAGGCAGCUUUCUGGAUCAUUACUGACACUGAGGAACGAAAGCAUGGGUAGCGAAGAGGAUUAGAUACCCUCGUAGUCCAUGCCGUAAACGAUGUGUGUUAGACGUUGGAAAUUUAUUUUCAGUGUCGCAGGGAAACCGAUAAACACACCGCCUGGGGAGUACGACCGCAAGGUUAAAACUCAAAUGAAUUGACGGGGACCCGCACAAGUAGUGGAGCAUGUGGUUUAAUUCGAAGAUACGCGCAGAACCUUACCAACACUUGACAUGUUCGUCGCGACUCUAAGAGAUUAGAGUUUUCGGUUCGGCCGGACGAAACACAGGUGCUGCAUGGCUGUCGUCAGCUCGUGUCGUGAGAUGUUGGGUUAAGUCCCGCAACGAGCGCAACCCUCACUUUUAGUUGCCAUCAUUAAGUUGGGCACUCUGAAAGAACUGCCAGUGAUAAGCUGGAGGAAGGUGGGGAUGACGUCAAGUCCUCAUGGCCCUUACGUGUUGGGCUACACACGUGCUACAAUGGUAUCUACAACAGGAAGCAAGACUGCGAAGUUAAGCAAAUCCCUAAAAGAUACCUCAGUUCGGAUUGCACUCUGCAACUCGAGUGCAUGAAGCUGGAAUUACUAGUAAUCGUGGAUCAGCGUGCCACGGUGAAUGCGUUCCCGGGUCUUGUACACACCGCCCGUCACACCAUGGGAGUUGGUUCUACCUUAAGGCAAGGUUUCAAACCCUUGACCACGGUAUAGUCAGCGACUGGGGUGAAGUCGUAACAAGGUAGCCGUAGGGGAACCUGCGGCUGGAUUACCUCCUUU
Molecule: ribosomal RNA, 1475 nt
Filed under: Candidatus Pelagibacter sp.
Lineage: Bacteria; Pseudomonadati; Pseudomonadota; Alphaproteobacteria; Candidatus Pelagibacterales; Candidatus Pelagibacteraceae
Description: 16S ribosomal RNA
Rfam family: Bacterial small subunit ribosomal RNA
Source: RNAcentral